UUAAAAUUCCACCUUUCUUUUAAUUUCAGAUCCUCUUCUGCGUGACUACUGGGUGUAUGAAGGCUCUCUGACCGUUCCGCCCUGCAGUGAAGGUGUCACCUGGAUAUUGUUUCGCUAUCCCUUGACUGUGUCCCAAGUGCAGAUAGAGGAAUUUCGUAGGCUGAGGACACACGUUAAAGGUGCUGAACUUUUGGAGGGCUGUGAUGGAAUCCUAGGAGAUAACUUCAGACCAACUCAGCCACUUAGCGACAGAGUCAUCAGGGCUGCAUUUCAGUAGCAGAAGAGAAAGAACAACAAAAAUACAUCUUUAUUCAGAGAGGGGGAAGACAAUGCUCCCACAGUGCCCUCGGAUGAGAGAUGGAAACUUUUGAGGCUGCUGCUUCAGUUGCACCACAAAGCCUGCAUUGUCUGUCUUCAUCUAAUUCAGCCUUGACAGACAGCUGUGGCCGUUGGUCUGUCCGCAUGGCCGGUGAAAUUCUGGGAAUGGGGCUGUACAUUAAAAGAAGAAAACAUGUUAAAUCUUCCAAUUUACACUGUUAACUAUUUUUAAAUGGUAAUUAUCUUUGCUUAUGUAGGUUUUUUGCCAUAGGAUUCAGUAGUGGUCUGUGAUCCAAACAGUACUGAUUUUAAGCUUACUAUGAAUGUUAAUAUGUAGAAUUACUCGUUUUGAAUGUUAGAUUGCAUUUUAUUCCGUAUCAUCUCUUGUGCUGUCAAUAACCGUCUUUUCUGUAGAGGGGAGGUGCAUCCUAUAAAGAUAAAAUUUUUGUUUGUUCACA
Pterocles gutturalis (yellow-throated sandgrouse) is the source of this 776-nucleotide long non-coding RNA. RefSeq lists it as uncharacterized. Lineage: Eukaryota; Metazoa; Chordata; Aves; Pterocliformes; Pteroclidae. The record is from RefSeq and is a predicted model, not a curated record. The transcript is spliced from 3 exons.